GCAGCGUUUUCCUAAAUGCUGCCCCCUGCUGGCGGAUCUACAGCAGGAGCUCUGAUAGACCAGGCCAAACAUCUGGGCAACCUGGCCUUCAACAUCUGGAGCAACAUGAAGAACAUGGUGACCUACACUCCUCUGGUUCUGGACCCAAACACGGCUGGGUCAAGACUCAUCCUGUCUGAAAAUCUGACCAGUGGGACGUUUGGAGAGAAACAGCAGCUUCCUGAUAAUCCAGAGAGGUUUGGAGCAGAGUGGUCCGUCCUCGGCUCCGAGGGCUUUAACUCAGGGAACCACAGCUGGGAUGUCGAUGUUGGAGACAACAGAGUGUGGGUGCUCGGCGUGUUGGCAGAGUCUGUCCACAGGAAGAGUGACGUAAAGUCUGGAUUAUCGGUUAUCUGGUUCUAUGAAGGGAUUUACUCAGCCGUCUGCCCGUCGGCUCCUUCCGCUGAUCUCUGCAUCCAGAAGAAGAUCCGUAGGAUCCGAGUGGAUCUGGACUUGGAUGGAGGGAAUCUGUCCUUCUCUGAUCUGGACACGAACACACACAUACACACCUUCACACACACCUUCAGCGACAGGAUGUUCCCUUACUUCAGAAUGGUGAAAACAACCAGGAUCCUCCCGAUGGAGAUCUCAGUGAUCAAACAGCAGCUCUGACGUCACGACAUGGAGCUGCUGAUCAGAGUGAUCCUUAUCGAUCAGAGUGAUCCUUAUCGAUCAGAUUGAAACUGUGUUUUGAUCAUCCGGUUGUUUUGACAUAAUUCGUAACCUGGUUAUUCCUCAGGUUGAAGAUCUGAGAUCCUGAAGAUUAAAUCCUGCUUUCAGAUCCAGGAGCUGCAGGAGGAUUAGAGGAAGGAGAAACUUUUCCUGGUCGUUUCCUCCAGUCCACCAGCUGCUCUGGUUGUAGUUCAGGCGUUCUGUUGUUUCUGGCAUUUUUAUUUGCUAUUGUCAGAUUUAUGUUAUUAUGCAACUGGUGGGAAGCUACUUAUUAUUUUUA
Molecule: RNA transcript, 991 nt
Organism: Xiphophorus hellerii (green swordtail)
Lineage: Eukaryota; Metazoa; Chordata; Actinopteri; Cyprinodontiformes; Poeciliidae
Gene name: zinc-binding protein A33-like
Exons: 2
Source: RefSeq, a predicted model, not a curated record